AAAAAAAAAUUCUAAUAAGCUAGCAAUAGUUUGAACGACAAAUACAUUAAUAUAAAAAAAUCUAAUCUAGAUCUAUAUCUAGAUCUAGUCUCGUUUUGCUUCACAUUGUCAAUGUUCAGUAAACUCUUUUCUUAAGGAGAAACAAAUAAUGUCCAGAAACAAGACCAAAGAAUAUCUUUCAUCAGAAUGCAUCUUGACUUUGGUUCUACUUGCAGUCCUAGCAGUCUACAGUUUCAGUGUUUGCUUUAAUAUCCACAUCACUAGACAAGACAUCAGAAGAGCAGGGUUAAGUGUGCAGCUGGCUCUAGAUCCGUUAGAACCACUUCAGGGACUACUGAGUAAAUGGAUUUUUGAAACAGAGGAGGCACUCAAUACUAGUUCGUCAGCAUCUGAAAAACUCCAGUAUGCCCUAAGCGAUCUUUUAUCAACUGCAGAUUCCGUUUUUGUGGAGCUCAAAGCUGUUUUACAAUAAUAUUCCCUUUGCUCUGGUGUGAAUCUCUAUUCAUUUUUCAAAUACCUAAAACAAUAACAAUGUCCGUGAAGCUAUAAACUACAAUACCGUAGUAAAUUAGAAUGAACACACAUACUCAAAAACAAAUCUACAACUACACUAAAAGAAAAUUAAACACAAUUAUUCUAUAUUUUCAAAUAAAUCAUUUUUAAUUUGAAGCAUUAUCAUAUACAUUUCUUUAUUUUGAAGUAGAAAAAAAAAAGGUACGUAUAUUAACAGUUAUCAGUCAUUUAAAUUACAUUUAAUACUUAUGUCAAGAAAAAUGUUUUAGUUUUGUUUUGUUAGGAAGGGGUAUGUACAGGACCAUUGCCUAGACUUGAAUUAUACAGAAGAUUGAUACUUUUUUUUAAUUUGAAUGGACUCAGGGGCUUCUAACUAUAAAAAGUAAAACAAGAAAGACAAUCCAAAUAAAUCUAUUAGUGCAUGGGGGGGGGGGGGAGGGGUGUUAGUCAUGGGUACACUUACAAAGGUUAACAUUGCAAACCAGUAAGCACAUUAACAACAGAAAUUAAAUGUCAUUCACUUCAACAAGUUAUUUUAUGAUCGUGGCUCAUGUGACCGUUUGCUGUUCAAAUCCAGUCACUGUUGUAUCCUGCUACUAAACAAGAGGUCAGGGAGCAACAAAAACUAAUUCUUACAAUGCUAUUUCAAGGACUGUUAGCCAUUCAAUAAGGAUUUCUUUGUACUCCUCUUGCUACCAAAAAUGAAUUCAAAAAAUUAAGUGUAAAGAGUACUCGAUGUCCAGCACUGAGUUUCCUCAAGCAGUAAUUAUUUGAAGAACUAGCUAGUAUAAACAUCAAUACCCUUGCCCAUAUUUACAAAGCAUACAGCUGUUGACGGUAUGGCAGGUAAUGUCUAAACAGUAACAAAUUCUUCUAAUACAAAUGAUAAAGCAAAAAAAAAAAAAAAAAUGUUUUUAUUACUUAACAGAUCACGCACACUCACACACCAUCUAUACACACAAUUUAAAAGAAAGAAUGUGGAAAAAAAAUGCUAUGAAGAAAAGUAGAGGGAACAAAAUAGUUCUCAAUUUUAAAAAUAAAAAAAUUUUGUCAUGAAGUUAAUUUGAGGCCAAAAUGUACAAAAUGUUAAUAUUCUUUUUUUUUUAAAGUAGAAACUUUAUUUGCAAAAGUGUGUAUUUUUUAAAUACCAAAACAAACAGUAAGAAAGCAAAAACACAUUUGAACAAGAAUCAUUUGUUCCUAAAAAUGUACUGGUAACUAAAGAAACAAGAUCCAAUUAUCAUUGCUAGUCAAUAUCUAAAAUGCAUCAUGUUUUAAUGGACUACAGCUCAAUAGUAAUAAUACAAGGCACAACACAAUAUAAUAUCAAUAGUGUUAUGCCAAUAAAAAAAAGUGAGAUUCUAAAAAGUGAAACAGUAUCUGUGUUCAAACAAUCAAGUCUAGUAGACUUCUUAGAAACAGUAAAGUACAUGCCAUUAAUAAUUCAAGCAGUAAAAAAGAAAACAGGCUUUCCUUUCAUUGUGAUGCCAGACAAAAUGAAACCUUCAAUCUUUACCUACCUAUGUCAUUACUUCUCUCAGGAAGAGCAAGAUUUCUGAAAGCCUAUUUUAGAGCCAAUGAUCAAAGUCUAGCCUCCUAAAACGUGGGUAGCUCUACUGUGCACUGAACAGGGGUACUUGAGCAAUUUAGAAAUUUGAGGUAAAACCUCUUGCCAGGACUUCAAUUAGCCAAUUUGUGGAGCGACUAAGAUCAUUUGCAAAAAAAAUAAAGUGUCAUGAAAUUAGGUCCAACUUCUGGUAUCAGUUAAAGCACAUACAAAAUACUCAUAAUGCAAUUAUAUAUAUAUAUUUAUUUAUUUAUUUAUACGCUGUUAUAAAUAAGCUCUGCCAAAGAGGAGAAAAAAAAAAGGCAAAAUGGAAAUUGAUUAAAGUUGACAAAAUACUAAUAUGAAAAUAAAGAAACAUAAAGCAGGAUAUGUCUACUAGAUUAUAAUCACUACAGAUAUUGUAAGUGAAUGUUAAAAAAAAAGAUGUACAGACAUACAAUACUACUAUAUACAUACAAUAUUUUCAUUUUUGUCAAACUAAGUGUACUUACACUCUUAUCACUUGAUAACUUAUUGAUAGGCUUGGGGGAGAAAAGCAGAUAAAGGAAGUGUUUUUUUUUCAUUUGAAUGAUGACUUAAGUUUUAAAAAUUUGUUCAUUUAAAAAAACAAAGUACCUAAAAAAAUAUAAAUAUUGCAACUCCUAAUGUAAAAAAAUGUAUAUACUGAAAAUUUCUUUUUGUUCUAUCUACAAUAACAUUAUGAUAGAGUUCUUACUUUAGAUAAGUCUUUUUAUUUUACUACUAGUUAAUAAUCAUAUUCUGUUGUAAGAAUUCUCUUGUUUUCUUUAAAAUUAUAAUACAACAUCAUUGCAGUUGAAUCACUUGUUUUUAUAAUACUUACAAAAAAUGCUGUUUGUGUCCUUUUUUUUUUUAAUCAAUUUUGUUAUACAUCUUUUUUCAAAAGGUUUGUGUCUAUUAAAAUUUUCAGAAAAAUUUUAGCACAAAACUAUGGACACUGCAUUAACCAUUUUGAAAAAGAUACUUUUUUUUUUUAAAGACUAAGAAUAAUAUUAAAAAAAAAAAAGAAUGAACAAAAAAAAAACAACAACAUAAGGCUGCAUUCUGCAGGCAAUGAAUUUUUUAACAGAAGUUACUCAUUCUAAUUUUAUAAUUAGAUUAUCAUACAAUAUCUACAACUAUGAUUACAAUUUUGUAAAAGUAUGCCUAUGAGUUAAAAAAACAACAACUAAACUAGUAAGAAUUUUAAAAUAAUAUUUGUCAAAAUAGUGCACAUAAAAUAAUUACCAUAGGUUAAGUAAUGCAUAUUAAACCGAUUUUUUAAAUAAAUGGAAUCAAUAAUAUAAUUUAUUAUUUAAGUAAAAAAGGCAUGAUCAUGGAAUGAUACAUUAAGUCAAUCAAAAUAGUAUUGACCACUCAUUUCAAUUUGAUAUUUUUUACAGAGCCUCUUUGUAAAAUGUAUGUGAUAUAAUACUAUAAAAUAUGUGAAAUAAAUUUGGCCUCUUCUGA
Biomphalaria glabrata is the source of this 3547-nucleotide long non-coding RNA. RefSeq lists it as uncharacterized. The record is from RefSeq and is a predicted model, not a curated record. NCBI's taxonomy places the organism in Eukaryota, Metazoa, Mollusca, Gastropoda, Planorbidae. The transcript is spliced from 3 exons.